RNAcentral lists this ribosomal RNA (99 nucleotides) under Neisseria gonorrhoeae. RNAcentral's name for it is "partial 23S ribosomal RNA". It matches the Rfam family "Bacterial large subunit ribosomal RNA", at positions 1 to 98 of the family's 2925-position model. Lineage: Bacteria; Pseudomonadati; Pseudomonadota; Betaproteobacteria; Neisseriales; Neisseriaceae. The record is from RNAcentral.
AGUCAAGUGAAUAAGUGCAUCAGGCGGAUGCCUUGGCGAUGAUAGGCGACGAAGGACGUGUAAGCCUGCGAAAAGCGCGGGGGAGCUGGCAAUAAAGCU